GAUGAAGAACGUAGCGAAAUGCGAUACGUAAUGUGAAUUGCAAAUUCAGUGAAUCGUCGAGUCUUUGAACGCACAUUGCGCCCCCUGGUAUUCCGGGGGGCAUGCCUGUCCGAGCGUCAUUGCUGCCCUCAAGCACGGCUUGUGUGUUGGGCCCCGUCCUCCGAUCCCGGGGGACGGGCCCGAAAGGCAGCGGCGGCACCGCGUCCGGUCCUCGAGCGUAUGGGGCUUUGUCACCCGCUCUGUAGGCCCGGCCGGCGCUUGCCGAUCAACCCAAAUUUUUAUCCAGGUUGACCUCGGAUCAGGUAGGGAUACCCGCUGAACUUAAGCAUAUCAAUAAGCGGAGGA
Molecule: unclassified non-coding RNA, 345 nt
Filed under: soil metagenome
Description: partial contains 5.8S ribosomal RNA, internal transcribed spacer 2, and large subunit ribosomal RNA
Rfam family: 5.8S ribosomal RNA (bases 1-119)
Source: RNAcentral